This 440-nucleotide ribosomal RNA is filed under the name uncultured bacterium. Its description in RNAcentral is "partial 16S ribosomal RNA". It matches the Rfam family "Bacterial small subunit ribosomal RNA", at positions 338 to 795 of the family's 1533-position model. The record is from RNAcentral.
CCUACGGGUGGCAGCAGUAGGGAAUAUUGCUCAAUGGGGGAAACCCUGAAGCAGCAACGCCGCGUGGAGGAUGAAGGUUUUCGGAUUGGUAACUCCUUUUUUUAGAGAAGAUAAUGACGGUAUCUAACGAAUAAGCACCGGCUAACUCCGUGCCAGCAGCCGCGGUAAUACGGAGGGUGCAAGCGUUACUCGGAAUCACUGGGCGUAAAGAGAGCGUAGGCGGGAUAGCAAGUCAGAUGUGAAAUCCUAUGGCUUAACCAUAGAACUGCAUUUGAAACUGUUAUUCUAGAGUAUGGGAGAGGUAGGUGGAAGUCGUGGUGUAGGGGUGAAAUCCGUAGAGAUCUCGAGGAAUACUCAUUGCGAAGGCGACCUGCUAGAACAUAACUGACGCUGAUGCGCGAAAGCGUGGGGAGCAAACAGGAUUAGAUACCCCUGUAGUC